UACGGAGGGUGCAAGCAUUAAUCGGAUUUAUUGGGCGUAAAGGGCGCGUAGGCGGGGAAUCAAGUCAGAUGUGAAAUCCCGAGGCUCAACCUCGGAACAGCAUUUGAAACUGACUCUCUAGAGGGUAGGCGGAGAAAACGGAAUUCCACAAGUAGCGGUGAAAUGCGUAGAUAUGUGGAAGAACACCGGUGGCGAAGGCGGUUUUCUAGCUUAUUCCUGACGCUGAGGCGCGAAAGCAAGGGGAUCAAAC
This 250-nucleotide ribosomal RNA is filed under the name uncultured bacterium. Its description in RNAcentral is "partial 16S ribosomal RNA". It matches the Rfam family "Bacterial small subunit ribosomal RNA", at positions 524 to 773 of the family's 1533-position model. The record is from RNAcentral.